This 550-nucleotide ribosomal RNA is filed under the name uncultured bacterium. RNAcentral's name for it is "bacterial SSU rRNA". It matches the Rfam family "Bacterial small subunit ribosomal RNA", at positions 774 to 1319 of the family's 1533-position model. The record is from RNAcentral.
AGUGAAUAGAUACCCUGGUAGUCCACGCCCUAAACGAUGUCAACUAACUGUUCGAAGUCACUAAAGAUUUUGAGUAGUGAAAGCUAACGCGAUAAGUUGACCGCCUGGGGAGUACGGCCGCAAGGUCGAAACUCAAAGAAAUUGACGGGGGCCCGCACAAGCGGUGGAGUAUGUGGUUUAAUUCGAUGCAACGCGAAGAACCUUACCCGGUCUUGACAUGGUAGGAAUCUUGUAGAGAUACGAGAGUGCCUUCGGGAACCUACACACAGGUGCUGCACGGCUGUCGUCAGCUCGUGUCGUGAGAUGUUGGGUUAAGUCCCGCAACGAGCGCAACCCUUGCCCUUAGUUACCAUCAUUUAGUCGGGGACUCUAAGGGGACUGCCGGUGAUAAACCGGAGGAAGGUGGGGACGACGUCAAGUCAUCAUGGCCCUUAUGACCGGGGCUACACACGUACUACAAUGGUCGGUACAGACGGUCGCAAGCUCGCGAGAGUAAGCUAAUCCGAGAAAAACCGAUCGUAGUCCGGAUCGCAGUCUGCAACUCGACUGC